This 463-nucleotide ribosomal RNA is filed under the name uncultured bacterium. RNAcentral describes it as "partial 16S ribosomal RNA". It matches the Rfam family "Bacterial small subunit ribosomal RNA", at positions 28 to 507 of the family's 1533-position model. The record is from RNAcentral.
GACGAACGCUGGCGGCGUGCUUAACACAUGCAAGUCGAGCGGUAAGGCCCUUCGGGGUACCCGAGCGGCGAACGGGUGAGUAACACGUGAGUAAUCUGCCCAUCACUUCGGGAUAACUCCGGGAAACCGGUGCUAAUACCGAAUAUGACCACUUCAGGCAUCUGAUGGUGGUGGAAAGUUCCGGCGGUGAUGGAUGAGCUCGCGGCCUAUCAGCUUGUUGGUGGGGUAGUGGCUUACCAAGGCUUCGACGGGUAGCCGGCCUGAGAGGGUGACCGGCCACACUGGGACUGAGACACGGCCCAGACUCCUACGGGAGGCAGCAGUGGGGAAUAUUGGACAAUGGGCGAAAGCCUGAUCCAGCAACGCCGCGUGAGGGAUGACGGCCUUCGGGUUGUAAACCUCUUUCAGCAGGGACGAAGCGCAAGUGACGGUACCUGCAGAAGAAGCACCGGCCAACUACGUG